This 1269-nucleotide ribosomal RNA is filed under the name metagenome. Its description in RNAcentral is "SSU rRNA". It matches the Rfam family "Eukaryotic small subunit ribosomal RNA", at positions 558 to 1823 of the family's 1831-position model. The record is from RNAcentral.
AGUCUGGUGCCAGCAGCCGCGGUAAUUCCAGCUCCAAUAGUGUAUAUUAAAGUUGCUGCAGUUAAAAAGCUCGUAGUUGGAUUUCGGAUAAUAAAAAUUUAAUAUCCAUCCUUAAAAUGUGAUUUAAUUUUUAUUUCCUUCCUUUUGAAUACACUCCCUAAACUCUUUUAGGGAAUUAAGUGUUUCAAAUCGUUUACUGUGAAGAAAUUAGAGUGUUCAAAGCAGGCGUAACCUAGCCUUUGAAUAUAUUAGCAUGGGAUAAUGAAAUAGGACUUUAGUCCUACUUUCGUUGGUUUCUAGGGCUGAAGUAAUGAUUAAUAGGGAUAGUUGGGGUCACUAGUAUUUAAUUGUCAGAGGUGAAAUUCUAAGAUUUAUUAAAGACUAACUACUGCGAAAGCAUUUGACAAGGAUGUUUUCAUUAAUCAAGAACGAAAGUUGGGGGAUCGAAGAUGAUCAGAUACCGUCGUAGUCUCAACCAUAAACUAUGCCGACCAAGGAUCCGGGGUUGUUAAUAUGGAUGACUCUCCGGGCACUUAUAGAGAAAUCAUAAGUAUUUGGGCUCCGGGGGGAGUAUGGUCGCAAGGCUGAAACUUAAAGGAAUUGACGGAAGGGCACCACAAGGAGUGGAACCUGCGGUUUAAUUUGACUCAACACGGGGAAACUUACCAGGUCCAGACACAGUGAGGAUUGACAGAUUGAGAGUUCUUUCUUGAUUCUGUGAGUGGUGGUGCAUGGCCGUUUCUAGUUGGUGGAGUGAUUUGUCUGGUUAAUUCCGUUAACGAACGAGACCUUAACCUAUUAAAUAGUUGUUUGAACUUGAUUUUUUAAAUCAAAUGUUCAUUUAACUUCUUAGAGGGACUCUUCACUGAGAGAGUGAAUGGAAGUUUGAGGCAAAAACAGGUCUGUGAUGCCCUUAGAUGUUCUGGCCACACGCGCGUUACACUGACAUAUUCAACGAGCAUUAUCCUUGCCCGUCGGGGUUGGGUAAUCUUUUAAAUGUAUGUCGUGCUGGGGAUAGAUCAUUGUAAUUAUUGGUCUUGAACGAGGAAUUCCUAGUAAGUGCGAGUCAUCAACUCGCGCUGAUUACGUCCCUGCCCUUUGUACACACCGCCCGUCGCUCCUACCGAUUGAAUGGUCCGGCGAGAACUCAGGAUGGAUAUGGAUUUUGGACCCGUUAGGUGUUCCAACCAUAUCCAGAAUUUGUUUAAACCUUACCAUUUAGAGGAAGGAGAAGUCGUAACAAGGUUUCCGUAGGUGAACCUGCGGAAG